AUCGCAGAUUAUAAUUAUAUAUUGAUAAGGAAGUCUCCCUUCCAUAUGAACAAGUUCUAUAUAAAGGAAGACGAUGGGUACCUGCCUCAUCAGUUUCAUUCAUACUUUGAGCUUUUCACAUCGAUCAUGAAUGGAAUCCAAUUCUUCUGUCUGUUGGGCCUGAUGGUCGUCAGUUGUGCUGCUUACCCCUCCAAUUCUGUCGAUGAAAGGUAUCUUCCCGGGGCCCCUGUGGUAUUGACCGGGAGAGGCGAGGGAGAAGGCCAUUCAAGUUCUGUCCGUGGGACUGGCCCAACUGACCACAGGAGGUGGUCCCAGCUACAAACCUGUGAGUGUGUCUCAAGUGACGAGCCAAAUUGUUGAUGGAGUUAUCUAUACGUACAAAGCGGAAUUGGAGGUCGGAUCGGACAAGAAGGAGUGCACGGUCCAGAUCGUGCUCCAGCCAUGGCUCAAGGUGAACGAUAAUAGCAUCAAUGUUAAGUGUGAUGGCGAUAACGGUGUUGAUGAGCUAGUUCGCUAGCCGUUACUCUCUUAACUCUUUAAAUCAUUUUCUACUCGCAUAAUGAAUCGUUGUUCCAAUAAACAAAAUAUUUGCUCGCUUG
Drosophila obscura is the source of this 599-nucleotide long non-coding RNA. RefSeq lists it as uncharacterized. The transcript is spliced from 2 exons. NCBI's taxonomy places the organism in Eukaryota, Metazoa, Arthropoda, Insecta, Diptera, Drosophilidae. The record is from RefSeq and is a predicted model, not a curated record.